CUGGGCUUUCUGAAAGGUCAGUGCCACACGUGUUUUCUUUAUCAUCAUUUCGAGUGUGGAUCAGCCAGGCCUGUCCUGUGCUGGCCAUGGUGGCAUCAGUGACCUGUCUUGUUCGUGUCCUCUGGGGCCAGCAGCUCCCAUCUGGUUGGUUGUUUGCUUUUUGCAGGCUCCAUUGUCAUCCGUGUUUGCUUUCUGCUCAGUAGUGUUCAGCCACAGUAACAGAUGGUCCUUCCUUGGGACAGGGAUCUCACCCUGGUGUGGAUGGGGAUAGCAGGGGAGGCAGGCUCCUUUCUGUCCCCAGGAGAUGGGGAUCAGCAAAUGUAAACAGCUUCCCGAGGGAAGGACCGUGCUGCUGGGAGCGUGAGCGCAUCGCGUGUCUGGCAGGAAUGCUGAGGCUGGAAAGCGGAUAGUGCGGGGUUUGUGUGUUUGUGUAACUCAGUCUGGGUGCCAAAGUUCUCCGUUCACCAGGGCACAUUGACAGCGGUGGUUGCUGAGCAAAGCAGUGGCAGAGGUUUCUUUUCUGGCCCAGAGACCUCCACAGAAGACUGUGCUCUGAUCGGGUCCCUCCCAACCUGGGUUAUCCCAUGACCUGUUGCUCUGAAUGCAGCCUUCUAUGGGAAGAGGGAAGGAAAGAGCUUGAGAAUCAGCGGCUGCCUUUCCCCUUCCCUUCCUGAAGAAAAGCCAUGUAUGCCCAGAGCCGCUGCGAGCCCAGGCCCUGGGUCAGUGACCACGAACCAUCAGUCAAAGUGCUCCAAAAACUGGUGUAAAUUCAAGAACAAGAGCUGCAACUUUUGAGGGUACAAUUUGGAUCCUCUGUGCAUAGGUUUGCUGCUGUUUCUGACUUCUAGGCCUGUUCUGUUGCUAUUUGAGUCUCUCAUUACACUUGAUGUUAACUAUGAUGCUGUAUGUACUCUGCUGUCAUUCAAGCAUGAUGUAUAUGCACUCCGUACCGUAACGGCGCGUGGCUGUUACACUGUAAAUAUGUACCAUGAAUAGAGAGGCUAUUUUUUGCAUGCUUUUCUACUCUAGACCUGAACAGAAAAUGACAAUAAACUCCAUAGAAAUGAC
Molecule: long non-coding RNA, 1068 nt
Filed under: Strigops habroptila (Kakapo)
Lineage: Eukaryota; Metazoa; Chordata; Aves; Psittaciformes; Psittacidae
Description: lncRNA (ENSSHBG00005012282.1)
Source: RNAcentral